This 352-nucleotide ribosomal RNA is filed under the name uncultured Streptococcus sp. Its description in RNAcentral is "bacterial SSU rRNA". It matches the Rfam family "Bacterial small subunit ribosomal RNA", at positions 1029 to 1382 of the family's 1533-position model. The record is from RNAcentral. Lineage: Bacteria; Bacillati; Bacillota; Bacilli; Lactobacillales; Streptococcaceae.
CGGUGACAGGUGGUGCAUGGUUGUCGUCAGCUCGUGUCGUGAGAUUGUUGGGUUUAAGUCCCCGCAACGAGCGCAACCCCUAUUGUUAGUUGCCAUCAUUCAGUUGGGCACUCUAGCGAGACUGCCGGUAAUAACCGGAGGAAGUGGGAUGACGUCAAAUCAUCAUGCCCCUUAUGACCUGGGCUACACACGUGCUACAAUGGUUGGUACAACGAGUUGCGAGUCGGUGACGGCGAGCUAAUCUCUUAAAGCCAAUCUCAGUUCGGAUUGUAGGCUGCAACUCGCCUACAUGAAGUCGGAAUCGCUAGUAAUCGCGGAUCAGCACGCCGCGGUGAAUACGUUCCCGGGCCUU